This 459-nucleotide ribosomal RNA is filed under the name uncultured bacterium. RNAcentral's name for it is "partial 16S ribosomal RNA". It matches the Rfam family "Bacterial small subunit ribosomal RNA", at positions 338 to 795 of the family's 1533-position model. The record is from RNAcentral.
CCUACGGGUGGCAGCAGUGAGGAAUAUUGGUCAAUGGGCGAGAGCCUGAACCAGCCAAGUCGCGUGAGGGAAGACGGUCCUAUGGAUUGUAAACCUCUUUUGCCGGGGAGCAAAACGCGGUACGUGUCCCCGGAUGAGUGUACCUGAAGAAAAAGCAUCGGCUACCUCCGUGCCAGCAGCCGCGGUAAUACGGAGGAUGCGAGCGUUAUCCGGAUUUAUUGGGUUUAAGGGGUGCGCAGGCGGUCUUUUAAGUCAGCGGUCAAAGCCCGGGGCUCAACCCCGUCCCGCCGUUGAAACUGGCAGUCUCGAGUUGGAGAGAAGUAUGCGGAAGGCGCGGUGUAGCGGUGAAAUGCAUAGAUAUCGCGCAGAACUCCGAUUGCGAAGGCAGCAUGCCGGCGCCACACUGACGCUGAGGCACGAAAGCGUGGGUAUCGAACAGGAUUAGAUACCCUUGUAGUC